This 116-nucleotide ribozyme is filed under the name Aedes aegypti (yellow fever mosquito). RNAcentral describes it as "drz-agam-1 ribozyme". It matches the Rfam family "drz-agam-1 ribozyme". The record is from Rfam by way of RNAcentral. Lineage: Eukaryota; Metazoa; Arthropoda; Insecta; Diptera; Culicidae.
UGCCCAGCAACUCCUAUCCCCACCUCCUAGCAGUACUGGCCGGGGUACGAGCAACCUUAGGGAAGAUCGGGGAACCAUCCCCGGUGGGAAUUUUGGUCGUAUGCUGACAGGGAAGG